GCCUCCGUAGCUCAGGGGAUAGAGCACCGCUCUCCUAAAGCGGGUGUCGCAUGUUCGAAUCAUGCCGGGGGCA
Transfer RNA from Streptosporangium subroseum, 73 nucleotides. It matches the Rfam family "tRNA". From Rfam's summary of the family: Transfer RNA (tRNA) molecules are approximately 80 nucleotides in length. The record is from Rfam. NCBI's taxonomy places the organism in Bacteria, Bacillati, Actinomycetota, Actinomycetes, Streptosporangiales, Streptosporangiaceae.